This 119-nucleotide ribosomal RNA is filed under the name Amphilophus citrinellus (Midas cichlid). Lineage: Eukaryota; Metazoa; Chordata; Actinopteri; Cichliformes; Cichlidae. The record is from RNAcentral.
GUUUACAGCUGUACCACCCUGAGCACACCCAAUCUUGUCUGAUCUCAGAAGCCAAGCAGGGUCAGGCCUGGUUAGUACUUGGAUGGGGAACCACCUGCAGAUACCAGGUGCUGUUUGUG